This 1507-nucleotide ribosomal RNA is filed under the name metagenome. Its description in RNAcentral is "bacterial SSU rRNA". It matches the Rfam family "Bacterial small subunit ribosomal RNA". The record is from RNAcentral.
AGAGUUUGAUCCUGGCUCAGGACGAACGCUGGCGGCGUGCCUAAUACAUGCAAGUCGAGCGGACAGGUGGGAGCUUGCUCCCUGAUGUUAGCGGCGGACGGGUGAGUAACACGUGGGUAACCUGCCUGUAAGACUGGGAUAACUCCGGGAAACCGGGGCUAAUACCGGAUGGUUGUUUGAACCGCAUGGUUCAAACAUAAAAGGUGGCUUCGGCUACCACUUACAGAUGGACCCGCGGCGCAUUAGCUAGUUGGUGAGGUAACGGCUCACCAAGGCAACGAUGCGUAGCCGACCUGAGAGGGUGAUGGCCACACUGGGACUGAGACACGGCCCAGACUCCUACGGGAGGCAGCAGUAGGGAAUCUUCCGCAAUGGACGAAAGUCUGACGGAGCAACGCCGCGUGAGUGAUGAAGGUUUUCGGAUCGUAAAGCUCUGUUGUUAGGGAAGAACAAGUACCGUUCGAACAGGGCGGUACCUUGACGGUACCUAACCAGAAAGCCACGGCUAACUACGUGCCAGCAGCCGCGGUAAUACGUAGGUGGCAAGCGUUUUCCGGAAUUAUUGGGCGUAAAGGGCUCGCAGGCGGUUUCUUAAGUCUGAUGUGAAAGCCCCCGGCUCAACCGGGGAGGGUCAUUGGAAACUGGGGAACUUGAGUGCAGAAGAGGAGAGUGGAAUUCCACGUGUAGCGGUGAAAUGCGUAGAGAUGUGGAGGAACACCAGUGGCGAAGGCGACUCUCUGGUCUGUAACUGACGCUGAGGAGCGAAAGCGUGGGGAGCGAACAGGAUUAGAUACCCUGGUAGUCCACGCCGUAAACGAUGAGUGCUAAGUGUUAGGGGGUUUCCGCCCCUUAGUGCUGCAGCUAACGCAUUAAGCACUCCACCUGGGGAGUACGGUCGCAAGACUGAAACUCAAAGGAAUUGACGGGGGCCCGCACAAGCGGUGGAGCAUGUGGUUUAAUUCGAAGCAACGCGAAGAACCUUACCAGGUCUUGACAUCCUCUGACAAUCCUAGAGAUAGGACGUCCCCUUCGGGGGCAGAGUGACAGGUGGUGCAUGGUUGUCGUCAGCUCGUGUCGUGAGAUGUUGGGUUAAGUCCCGCAACGAGCGCAACCCUUGAUCUUAGUUGCCAGCAUUCAGUUGGGCACUCUAAGGUGACUGCCGGUGACAAACCGGAGGAAGGUGGGGAUGACGUCAAAUCAUCAUGCCCCUUAUGACCUGGGCUACACACGUGCUACAAUGGACAGAACAAAGGGCAGCGAAACCGCGAGGUUAAGCCAAUCCCACAAAUCUGUUCUCAGUUCGGAUCGCAGUCUGCAACUCGACUGCGUGAAGCUGGAAUCGCUAGUAAUCGCGGAUCAGCAAGCCGCGGUGAAUACGUUCCCGGGCCUUGUACACACCGCCCGUCACACCACGAGAGUUUGUAACACCCGAAGUCGGUGAGGUAACCUUUUAGGAGCCAGCCGCCGAAGGUGGGACAGAUGAUUGGGGUGAAGUCGAAACAAGGUA